RNAcentral lists this ribosomal RNA (253 nucleotides) under uncultured bacterium. Its description in RNAcentral is "partial 16S ribosomal RNA". It matches the Rfam family "Bacterial small subunit ribosomal RNA", at positions 524 to 776 of the family's 1533-position model. The record is from RNAcentral.
GACGAGCCACCCGAACGUUAUUCGGAAUUACUGGGCUUAAAGGGUGCGUAGGCGGUGUAGUAAGUCGGGAGUGAAAUACCCCAGCUUAACUGAGGAAUUGCUUUCGAUACUGCUGCGCUUGAGUGAGACAGAGGUAAGCGGAACUUAGGGUGGAGCGGUGAAAUGCGUUGAUAUCCUAAGGAACACCGGUGGCGAAGGCGGCUUACUGGGUCUCAACUGACGCUGAGGCACGAAAGCAUGGGUAGCGAACGGG